This 475-nucleotide ribosomal RNA is filed under the name uncultured bacterium. RNAcentral describes it as "partial 16S ribosomal RNA". It matches the Rfam family "Bacterial small subunit ribosomal RNA", at positions 355 to 819 of the family's 1533-position model. The record is from RNAcentral.
UGGGGAAUUUUGGACAAUGGGCGCAAGCCUGAUCCAGCCAUGCCGCGUACGGGAAGAAGGCCUUCGGGUUGUAAACCGCUUUUGUCAGGGAAGAAAUCUUCUGAGUUAAUACCUCGGGAGGAUGACGGUACCUGAAGAAUAAGCACCGGCUAACUACGUGCCAGCAGCCGCGGUAAUACGUAGGGUGCAAGCGUUAAUCGGAAUUACUGGGCGUAAAGCGUGCGCAGGCGGUUUUGUAAGACAGAGGUGAAAUCCCCGGGCUCAACCUGGGAACUGCCUUUGUGACUGCAAGGCUUGAGUGCGGCAGAGGGGGGAUGGAAUUCCGCGUGUAGCAGUGAAAUGCGUAGAUAUGCGGAGGAACACCGAUGGCGAAGGCAAUCCCCUGGGCCUGCACUGACGCUCAUGCACGAAAGCGUGGGGAGCAAACAGGAUUAGAUAGCCCUGGUAGUCCACGCCCUAAAACGAUGUCAACUGG